UCACCGCGUUGCCGCGUCCUCGCGCCUGCGCUGUGGAGCCGCUCCAGGCAAAUGACGGAGACGGGUGGCUGCCUCAUCUGAAAGGGACUGGACCAGAGCGGGCGCGUCGCGGUGACUUCCGCUCCUGCGCCGCGGGUCUUCGCGAGUGUGUGCCCGCUGCUCUCUGGGGCCUGUAACAGAGAGAGCUCUGUCUACACCGGAAGGGGUGGGCGAAACAAGCUGCUGCAUCCUGCGGGCCGUGUCACCGGGGCUGAGGGACGCUGGUACUACGUCUCCUGAGGCAGCGAGUGCGGCGGACUGAGGGUCGUGGCUGGUCAGAUUCUCGGCCCGCAGGGUCGGAUCAGUCGCCCCCGCAGUUGUCCAGAGACUGUCGCUUGCAGAGAGCGAGUUUCUUGUGCGGCCAGUUUGCUUAAAAUUUAGUGACAUUUCCCCUUAGCCCGCGGUAACGUCACCCACACAGCUGACCGAAGACUGCCGGAAUAUGGAUCAGAAACUUUCACAGUUGAUAGAGGAGCUCACAACUUCAGGAGAAUCCCAACUCAAUGCUCAGAAAAUGAAGGAACUGAAGAAAAUUUGCAAGAAUUCCUCGAGCUCACACUGGGCACAGAUAGUGACCGUCCCCUGCCACCCCCUCGGGAGGCAGCUCAGAGGCUAAGGCAGGCAGCCAUGCAAGCUGUGGAAGGUUGGAAUGAGAAGUUUGGGCAGGCCUAUAAGAAGCUAGCCUUGGGCUACCACUUCCUAAAACACACCAAAAAGGUAGAUUUUCGGGAUAUAAAUGUUAGGACUGUGGCAGAAAGGAAGCGAGAAGAGGAGAAGCAGAAGCACCUGGAUAAAAUCCACAGAGAAAGUGCAGACCGGGCUAAGAGGGAAAUGGAAGAAAUGUAUGAUGAAAUUGAAUGCUGCCUGACAGAAGUGGAGAACUGCUUUAAGCUGCUGGUGCCCUUGGAUUUUGUACCAUGCCCAGAGGAUAAAUUCUUUGGUGAAGCGUCUAGCAUGACAGAGGGCUAUGCUCCUUGCCCCUUGAGCCCGGACCUGGCCACUCCCCGUGAGUCUGGUCUCUCUGGACCCCAGGAUGAAGAGCAGCCAUGCUGUAGCAAGGACCUGGUUGCCUCUGCAUACCAUGUAGGAUCUGUUGUUGGUCUGAAGGCACUACCCCAAACAGCCAUGAAAGACUCCUCCAGGGAUGAGGACGAACCCAGCGACCCGGAUGAUUUCCUGCGGAGCCAUGGACUGGGUUCCCACAAGUACACGCUGGAUGUUGAAGUCCCCUCAGAUGGUCUGAAGGUUCAGGAGAAUGAAGACAACCUUGCUGUGCUCCAUGCUGCUCGGGACUCGCUCAAACUCAUCCAGAACAAGUUUCUGCCAACUGUGUGCUCCUGGGUCCAGCGGUUUACCCGUGCAGGGACCUACAGUGCACAUUUAAAACAGGCCAUUGACCUGAAAAUGGAACUGGAACUUGCCCUGAAGAAGUAUGAAGAACUGAACAUUGAGCCUGGGAGAGGACAGAGGAGCAGGACAGAAGCACUGGAGGACAGUGAGGAUGAGGAUCAGGACUUUGUGGAGGUCCCAGAGAAAGAGGGUUAUGAGCCUCGAAUCCCUGACCAUCUACGAGCUGAAUAUGGGCUGGAGCCAAAGGCCCCACUGAAGACUCUGGAGAAAGGUACAGCUGUAUGUAAGUUACAGGAGAGGACCAGGAUGAGAAGAGAAGAGGAGGCCUCAGACCCCACCUCUGCAGCUGCCCAGAUGUUGCGGCUCCAGGACUGCUUAUCAUCUCCCUCUCCCUCCUCUACCAGGUGACUCUAGAUGUCCCAUGUCACUGGGCCCACAGCCUAGUACUGCCACCACCUGUCAGAAGCACUGGCUGGUAUGAACAGGUUGCCCAAGAACCCUCCUUUGAGAGGUAUCCUGGAAUGUGUGUAGCCCUAGCCAAGUACCCCACCUGCUAAUGUGGGGCAUGGUGCUUAGCUGGGCCUGUAGCAGCCCUCUGGAGAUCCCGUAGCCAAACCAUAUUCUUGAAGGAAAUGUCAGGUGACCUCUAAACAGGUUCACAUCACAGAUCAGAGCCAGUAUUCAGCAGGGCCAGGUCGUUUGCUGGACAUCAGCAGCCAACCUGACAGCUCAGGCCCAAUGUAGUAUAUUAAUGCUGAUCCCAGGCUUCUGAACUGCACUGGGAUGUGGAAGGGAAAGGCAAGUAGCCACAUAAGGAAUGGGUAGCCCACAUGUACUGAUCUGUUUUCAGGGUACUUCCUGGGCCAGAGGAAGCCCAGAAGCAAGCAGAGCGAGCCCGAGCACCCAUUGUACCCUUCGGAGUGGACCUGUGUUACUGGGGCCAGGAGCAGCUAACAGCUGGAAAGAUUCUUAAAUCUGACUCUCAACACCGCUUCUGGAAACCCAGCGAGGUGGAGGAAGAGGUGGACAGUGCCCAUGUUUCUGAGAUGCUCCAUAGCCGACACAUUACCUUUUCAGGGACGUUUGAGCCUGUGCAGCACAAGUGCCGGGCCCUGAGGCCUAAUGGCAGGCUCUGCGAGCGCCAGGAUCGACUGAAGUGCCCAUUCCAUGGGAAGAUCAUCCCCAGAGAUGACAAGGGGCAGCCUCUCAACCCAGAAGACAGAGCCCGUGAACAAAGGCAGCAGCUUCAGCGGCAGCAGGCACAUCCAGAUUGGCAGGACCCUGAGUUUCUGAAGGACGUGGAAGCAGCCACAGGGGUGGACCUCGGUUCAUCCAGGUCCAGCAAGAAAGGCAAAGGGAAAAAGAAGAAGCACCCUAACCUCACGGAUCUGCGAGAGCGCACCAACACCGCCCGGGCCCGCCUUGAGAAGAAGGUCUUUGCCAAGGCAGCCGUGCAGAGAGUAGUUGCUGCCAUGAACCAGAUGGACCAGAAGAAACACGAGAAGUUUGCAAACCAAUUUAAUUAUGCGCUGAAGUAAAAGGGUGUGGGUGUGCUGAAUAUGCUGUGGUCCCCUUUGGCCGUCAGCUCUUCUCCGUUCGUUAGCUUACUAGGAUAGGAAGGAGAAUAGACUUAAGUCUGAGUAGAAUCAGAGCUUGUUUUUUCUGUAUGUAACAAUGUAGUGAUGCAUUAAAAUACUCUCCAGGAGGCCAGGGGAUAUGGUUUAGUGGUGAGGCCAGGGUUUGAUUCCCAACCAUUUUAACCACACAUGUGGUACCUCACCUGUAAUCCCAGCACUUGGACAUAAACAGGACCUGAAUCCUAGGCCAGUAUGGAUAACAGAGCAAGACUGCUUGAGAAACAAGAACAAAAAGCCAGAUGAGGUGACGCACACCUGUAAUUUUUACACUUAACAGGCAGGGCAGGAAGAUCAAUACAAGUUCAAAGCUAACCUAGUUGCCAGGCAUGGUAGGCACAUCUUUAAUCCCAGCACUCAGAAGGCAAGGCAGGUGGAUCUCUGAGUUUGAGGCCAGGCUGUUCUACAGAGUGAGUUCCAGGACAGCCAGGGCUACACAGAGAAACCCUGUCUUUAAAACAAACAAACAGCUAAGCUAGUCUAAGUUGUAAAUUCUAAGCCAGCCAAACUUACAUAAGCAGAGUAUGUCUCUGAGGGAAAAAAAUAUCCCUUCAGGAUGACGUACCUGCAUUGGAGUUGGAUAGGGGCAGGCACUCCAUCUGGCCAGCCCUUGGGCAGUAAGUGUGUCCCUAGUGGUGCUAUGUACUUUAUGAUGCCUUCAGCAAUCCACCCUUUCAUGCAUAUGCUGUUUAAUACACAUGUCCAGCUCCUGGCACCACUCUGGACCAGGUGUGUUGAGCCCUAACUCACAUACCAUGUAGUCACCCAGGUUAUGCACAGUGUAUAACAAGUGACUCCACUGGCUUCCAGAACUUUAGUGUUCAGACAAACUGCCUGACCACCUCGAAGCCCGCUUUCUCUUUCCAUGCCUAUGCAUUUAGAGUAAUUGGGUCUGCGGCUUUUGUUUUUGUUUUGAGAUGUGGUCUCUUUAUGUAGCUCUGGCAGUCUUAGAGCCCACAGUGUAGACCAGGCUGGUCUCCAACUCAGAGAUCCUCCUGCCUCUGCCUCUUCAGUAUUGAGAUUAAGGGCGUGUACGAUGGCUCCUGGCUGAGUAUGCCCUUCUGUUCCAGCUUCUUUGCCUUUGAAGUUUCUUCCAUGUUGUGAUAGCAGUCCUUCAGUCCUGCUUCUUACACACACGGACCUCAGCAGAGGACAAGGGAGGUGGCUCAGCAGGUAAAGCACUUGCAUGUAAUUAUGAGGACUGAGUCCAUAUAAAAGUCAAGUGGUUAUGGUAAUCUGCUUGUAAUCCUGCCCUUGGUGAGAGGAGACAGGAUCUCUGGGGCAAACUCAGUAAGGAGACUAGCCAAAAUCAGUGCAUUCUGGAUUCAGCAAGAGACUCCGCCUCUGUAAAUAGAGUGGAGAACAGUGAAGGGAAACACUCAACUACAACCUUUGGCCUAUAAUAUGAAAAUUCACAUAUGCCCAUAGACAUCUGCCCACACAUAGGUAAACACACACACACACAAAAUCACAGUGAAUGGAGUCAUAUUUUGUCAUUGCCACACCCACCCUCUCAUUUGAGACAUGGUCUCUCUUUGGAACCCUGACUGUCCGGUAACUCAUUUUGUAGAUCACGCUGGCCUCCAAUUCAGAGAUCCUCCUGCUUCUGCCUCCCAAGCCCCGGGACUAAAGGCGCCACCAUGGCCUGUCUCCAUGGAUUUGUUAUUGAUGUUUGGUCUGUUCCUACCUUAGGGCUACCGUGAAUAUCUGUGCUUUUUUGUGUGUGGACAACUGUUUCUGUACAUCACCGAUGCGUAUAGUAACCUCCUUGUGAGGGGCUAAGCUGUUGGAUGGUGGCUGCACCAUUUACACUCACUCUGCUCUGCUUCCUGAGGGCUUCAUGCCAUCACUGGUGUCUUUGUUUCUUUUGCUUUUCUGAGAAUUCUAUACAAGAGGACUGUGCUCACAUCAUUUCCACCUCUCCUGCCUUCUCCAGGUUCUCCCAUGCCCUUUUUUCAAAUUCAUGAUCUCUUCUUUGUCAUCACAUAUGAAGACAGUUGCUGUUAUCUUUAGCAGUCAUUCUCACCGUCAUGUUCUGGGAGGCAGCUAAGGGCAACAACAUUCACCUAUGUCAUUUUGAUAGUCUCUUAACUCCCUGGCCACAACUUAGGAGAUUUCCUGUUCGUAUACAUGGACUUUUGUUAAAUAGUGUCUACUUAAGGAUUUUUUUAAAAUCACAUGAUUAUCUCAAUAGAUGCAGAAAACACCUUUGACAAAAUCCAAUAUAAUAAAAUAAUAAAAGUCCUAGAGAGACUAGGAACAGGGAACAUGUAAAGGAAACCCAUCAAAACAACAGCUGAUUCCCAGUGGAAGUUGUAAAAGGCAGAAGAGUCUGGACCAGGGUACUUCAAGGUCUAAAAGACCAUGGAUACCAACUUACAGUACUGUACCCAGCAUAACUUCCUGCCAUAGUUGAAGGAAAGAGGAAAAUGCUCUGUGGUAUAAACACGCCAAAAGAAUUCAUGCCCACCAAACUGGUCCUAGAGAGGAUACCAAAAGCAAUUCUUUAGACUGAAGAGAGGAAAAAGGACAAGGAAGACAAGUGAAGCUGUAAUUGCUGAAGCACAAAAGAGGAUGAAUGCAAAGAGCAAACCAGGAGCCAGCACACACCUUAAACCAGAACCAGGAGCCAGCACACACCUUAAACCAGAACCAGGAGCCAGCACACACCUUUAACCAGAACAAGGUUUUAAUAAUAUCCUUAGCUCCCCAGUCAAGAAACACUGGUUUGUUGAAUGGAUUGAGAACAAAGAUUUAAAGAUCGGGGCCACCUUAAAGCACAAGGAUAGAAAAAAGUAUCCCAAGCAAGUGCAAAGAGGAAGGAAGCAGGUGUCACUCACUACCUUUUUUUUUUUUUUUUUUUUUUUUGAGACUGUGUCUUCCUACUCAGUCCUAGCCUGCUAUAUAAACCAGGUGGGCCUUGAACUCACAAAGAUCUGCCUGCUUCUUCCUUCCAAAUGGUGGAAUUAAGGACAAGGAGUCUUUGUUUUAAUCAAGAGAACAAUUGACCAUGAAUACAUUACAGUUCUGUAUGCACCAAGCUCUAGAACACCCAAUUUCAUAAGAAACAUGCCACUGAACUUAAAGACACAGAUUACUCCAGUUCCGUAUUAGUGGGUGAUUUCUGUACCCCACUUUAUCCAGAAUACAGGCCAUCUGAACAGCAACAACAAAAAAGAAUAGAGAUAUCAGAUUUAAGUGAUGUCAUACAGCAAAUGGAGCUAACAAAUAUGUACAAAAUGUUUGACCCAAACACUAAAGAAUAUACAUUCUACACAGCAGGCCAAAUACCCAAAAUAGAUCAUAUUGGCCAGGAGGUGGUAGUCCAUACCUUUAAUUCAAGCACUCAGGAGACAGGGGCAAGCAAAUCUUGAGUUUGAGAUCAGAGUGGUCUACAGAAUGGGUUCUAAGAUAGCCAAGGAUACCCAGAAAAACCCUGUCUCAAAAAAUGAAAAUAAUAAACUAGAUCACAUAAUUUGACACAAAACAUAUCUUAAGUUCAGAAAAUUGAAAAAUUUUAAUAUAUUUUAUCAAGCCACAAUGCAAUAAAGCUUCAAAUCAAUAGCAAACAAAUUCCUGGUAAUUAUAUAAAUUCAUGAAGAUUGAACAACACAUUACUAAAUAGUGAAUGGGUCAAAAAAGAAUCAAGAAAAAAUGUUUUAAUCCUGAAGUCAAAUACAACUAAAAACAACAAAACCUCUGGAUACAUAGAAUGGCAACCUAUGAGGCACUAACUACCUUAUUAAAAAUCAGAAAAAGCACAAAUAAAUGACUUAAUGAUGUAAUUCAAUGAUUUGUAAAAACAGGAACAAGUCUAAAUUGAGUAGAGUGGAAUACCUAGUAAAAACAACAUAAAUUAAUGAAAUUGGAAGAAAAAAAAUAUCAAUGAAUCUAAGAGCUGGUUCUUUGACAAGCCAUUGGCAGAUUCUAGCUAUCCAGCUAACCAAAAUCAAAAUAAACAAAAAUAAAGACGUGAUUCAAAGGAAUAGAAUUCAAGUUGAACUGGAACCAUCAUGGCACCAAUGAAAUCCAGUCCUGUAGAGGAGUACUUUAAAAACCUAGUCUCCAUUAAGUUAGAAACUAGAAGAAGUGCACAAGGCACGCAUGUGGUGCACACACAUGCAAGCAAAACAUUCAUGAAUUUUAAUUUAAAAAAGGAAUGGAUGGAUUUCUAGAGUAAUCCAAACUACCAAAGUUUAAGAAAGUGACAACCUAAACAGACCUAUAACAUUAUACCACCAGUGCCUCCUAAGCAGACCUGUCACAAGGAAGGAGAUUGGAACAGUAAAAAAAAAAAAAAAAAAACCCAGGCCCAGAUAGAUUCACAGGAAAAUUCCACCAGAUUUUCACAGACCUACAGCCAAUACUAAAAAAUAAACAAAAAACCAGAAGGAACAUUUUUAAUGCCAAAAACCAUGUAGGCAACAACAACAAUAUCUCUGAUAUAGGCAAAUAUCUCUGAUGGACAUAGAUGCAAAAAUCUAAUAAAACACUGCAAGCCGAGUAUAGCCAUAUUAGUUCACCCAAGAAAGGACUGGAUGUAGGUGACGAACACUUGAGUCAUGAAAGAAGACAGUUAACUCUUCUUUCUAGUUUUACCUCUUUUGUGUGUGUGGUUAAGUGCAUAAAACAAUAUUUGAUGGUGAAAGUGGAAUCCAGUGUGAAGCUCCACAGCUUUCAUUGAGAUGGAUAAACUUUGGGUCUGGUUAAUUUCACUGUAUGAUGUUUUUUAUAAGUUUUUUUGUAAUAAAACUUUUCCUUUUGUUAUUGCUGCUGUUGUUAUUUUGAGACAGGUUUUCUCUGUGUAGCCCUGGCUGUCCUUGAACUCACUGUAGACCAGGCUGGCCCCAAACUCAGCGAUCUGCUUUCCUGACUCCUAAGUGCUCAGAAUCAAGGCCUGCACCACCACCCAAAUGGCUUUGUAAUGAAAUAUUAAUAAUAAAAAGAUUUAUUAUGAUUAUAAUAAAAGAUAUAUAUGACAAGCCCACAACUAAGAUCAUCCUAGAUGAAAAGUAUGAAGAAAUCCCACAUUUCGAGCUGUAUUACAAAGAUAGAGCAAUGAAAAUAGUCUUGUACUGGCACAAAAGCAGAUGUGCGUCCAUGGAACAAAACAGACUCAAACAUGAGUGCACAUGACUACAGCCAGCUAAUAUCAAACAGAGGUCCCAAAAAUACACACUAGAGAAAGGACAGCAUCUUCAGCAGACAAGGACUGGAAAACUGGACGCCCACAUGAACAAGAAUGAAAUUAGACCCAUGUCCAUCCCCAUGCACAAAAAUGAGCUCCAAAUGGAUCAAGACCUCAGUACGAAACCUGAAACUUUGAGAUGGCUGAAGAAAGCAUAGUCCACAUCCUCCAGGUUAGAGCUGUAGGGAACUCUCUGGAUAGGGCUCCCUUUGCUCAGGAAUUAAGACCAACAAUUUAUGAAUAGGAUCUUAUAAAACCACAAAGCUUCUGUACUGCAAAGGAAACCAAAAAUAAGCUCACAGGGUGAGAUAAGACCUUAUCUGGUAGACAAUUAAUAUCCAGGAUAUACAGAAAAACCAAAAUAACCUACUUUAAAGAGUUAUGUAGAUCUAGACUUUCUCAGAAAAAAAAAUGGUUUUAAAAAGUAUUCAGUAUCUUUAGCAAUGAGGGAAGUUCACACCCAGAGCACUGGACUCAGCUCCCAAGUCGUGAAGGCUAGGGCCGUCGUUUCCUCCUUUUAUCCUAUUUUUGUUUGGUUUCCCAGACAAGGGCUCACUGUGCAGCUGUAGUUCUGACUGAUCUAGAACUUGCUGGGUAGUCUAGGGUGGCCUCGAGCCCAGCAUAGACCCACCUGUCUGUAUCGCUGGCAGUGUAUGAAAUGUGUACGUCACCGUCCUUGGCUCCUUAGGAAAAAGUGUGUAUGGGUGUGGGUUUUUUAAAAAAA
Mus musculus (house mouse) is the source of this 8935-nucleotide RNA transcript. It is a transcript of the gene named UV stimulated scaffold protein A, with no coding region annotated. NCBI's taxonomy places the organism in Eukaryota, Metazoa, Chordata, Mammalia, Rodentia, Muridae. The transcript has 13 exons. The record is from RefSeq and is marked validated.